AAUCAACAAAGUUUAUCAACUUGAGUAAAUACUAUUUGAUUUUUAAAUUAAUAAUACUUUAGUGAUUCUCAAUCGUUUAUAAUUAUUGAUUCGUAAAUAAAACAGGAAAGAUUUUAAUAAAUGAAAACUAAAUGCGGUACUCCAAGAAAUCUCAACGAGCUUAUCACAAAGCACCGCGGAAUAACAUUUAACCCGGAAAUUCACACCUCAUUCCACGCCAAUGAUGCAUAAAUGGCCAGAGCCGACUUCCGAAUAACGGACUUUCAGUUCUGAAGCCAGAAUUCUAACCACAAAACCAGGGCUGCACUAUCACUAUUACAUAUCACUAUUAUAUUAAAAUAAUUAAAUUAAUAAAAACUAUUAAAAUAUAUAAAUUGUUGCCAGUUUCUUUACAUGAACUCAAAUUUAA
Hydra vulgaris (swiftwater hydra) is the source of this 409-nucleotide long non-coding RNA. RefSeq lists it as uncharacterized. The record is from RefSeq and is a predicted model, not a curated record. Lineage: Eukaryota; Metazoa; Cnidaria; Hydrozoa; Anthoathecata; Hydridae.